UCAAUCAUAGUCAUAGCGAUAUGA
Molecule: non-coding RNA, 24 nt
Filed under: Arabidopsis thaliana (thale cress)
Lineage: Eukaryota; Viridiplantae; Streptophyta; Magnoliopsida; Brassicales; Brassicaceae
Source: RNAcentral